UACGGGGGGGGCAAGCGUUGUUCGGAAUUACUGGGCGUAAAGGGCUCGUAGGCGGCCAACUAAGUCCGACGUGAAAUCCCAAGGCUUAACCUUGGAACUGCGUCGGAUACUGGAUGGCUUGAAUUCGGGAGAGGGAUGCAGAAUUCCAGGUGUAGUGGUGGAAUGCGUAGAGCUCCGGAGGAACACCAGUGGCGAAGGCGGCCGCCUGGGCCUUUGCUGACGCUGAGGCGCGAAAGCGUGGGGAGCGAACAGG
Molecule: ribosomal RNA, 253 nt
Filed under: uncultured bacterium
Lineage: Bacteria
Description: partial 16S ribosomal RNA
Rfam family: Bacterial small subunit ribosomal RNA
Source: RNAcentral